This 73-nucleotide transfer RNA is filed under the name Stegodyphus mimosarum. It matches the Rfam family "tRNA". Rfam says of the family: Transfer RNA (tRNA) molecules are approximately 80 nucleotides in length. Their secondary structure includes four short double-helical elements and three loops (D, anti-codon, and T loops). Further hydrogen bonds mediate the characteristic L-shaped molecular structure. tRNAs have two regions of fundamental functional importance: the anti-codon, which is responsible for specific mRNA codon recognition, and the 3' end, to which the tRNAs corresponding amino acid is attached (by aminoacyl-tRNA synthetases). tRNAs cope with the degeneracy of the genetic code in two manners: having more than one tRNA (with a specific anti-codon) for a particular amino acid; and 'wobble' base-pairing, i.e. permitting non-standard base-pairing at the 3rd anti-codon position. Lineage: Eukaryota; Metazoa; Arthropoda; Arachnida; Araneae; Eresidae. The record is from Rfam by way of RNAcentral.
GCCUUCGUGGUGUAGUGGUCAGCACGCUCGACGUGUAUUCGAGAGGUCCGUGGUUCGAGUCCCGUCGACAGCA